CACCGCGGUUAUACGAGAGGCCCUAGUUGAUAAGCAUCGGCGUAAAGAGUGGUUAAGAAAAUAAUUUAAUAAAGCCGAACACCUCCUCAGUUGUUAUACACAUUUGAAGGCCUGAAGCCCCCUUGCGAAAGCAGCUUUAAAUACUCCGAACCCACGACAACUAUGACA
Molecule: ribosomal RNA, 168 nt
Filed under: Esox americanus
Lineage: Eukaryota; Metazoa; Chordata; Actinopteri; Esociformes; Esocidae
Description: partial 12S ribosomal RNA
Source: RNAcentral